GUCCCUGUAGCACAAUGAAUAGUGCGUUGGACGUCUAAUCCAAAGGUCAUGGAUUUGAAUCCCUCCUGGGAUG
This is a non-coding RNA of Trichonephila clavipes, 73 nucleotides long. The record is from the annotation of a GenBank genome assembly. Lineage: Eukaryota; Metazoa; Arthropoda; Arachnida; Araneae; Nephilidae.